This 495-nucleotide unclassified non-coding RNA is filed under the name uncultured Glomeromycotina. RNAcentral describes it as "SSU rRNA". It matches the Rfam family "Eukaryotic small subunit ribosomal RNA", at positions 591 to 1092 of the family's 1831-position model. The record is from RNAcentral. Lineage: Eukaryota; Fungi; Glomeromycota.
CCAAUAGCGUAUAUUAAAGUUGUUGUGGUUAAAAAGCUCGUAGUUGAACCUUGGGCCUGGCUGGCCGGUCCGCCUCACCGCGUGUACUGGUCCGGCCGGGCCUUUCCCUCUGUGGAACCCCAUGCCCUUCACUGGGUGUGGCGGGGAAACAGGACUUUUACUUUGAAAAAAUUAGAGUGCUCCAGGCAGGCCUAUGCUCGAAUACAUUAGCAUGGAAUAAUGAAAUAGGACGUGUGGUUCUAUUUUGUUGGUUUCUAGGACCGCCGUAAUGAUUAAUAGGGACAGUCGGGGGCAUCAGUAUUCAAUCGUCAGAGGUGAAAUUCUUGGAUCGAUUGAAGACUAACUACUGCGAAAGCAUUUGUCAAGGAUGUUUUCAUUAAUCAGGAACGAAAGUUAGGGGAUCGAAGACGAUCAGAUACCGUCGUAGUCUUAACCAUAAACUAUGCCGACUAGGGAUCGGACGAUGUUAUUUUUUGACUCGUUCGGCACCUUACG